RNAcentral lists this ribosomal RNA (497 nucleotides) under uncultured bacterium. Its description in RNAcentral is "partial 16S ribosomal RNA". It matches the Rfam family "Bacterial small subunit ribosomal RNA", at positions 28 to 507 of the family's 1533-position model. The record is from RNAcentral.
GACGAACGCUGGCGGCGUGCCUAAUACAUGCAAGUCGAGCGAACGGACGAGAAGCUUGCUUCUCUGAUGUUAGCGGCGGACGGGUGAGGAACACGUGGAUAACCUACCUAUAAGACUGGGAUAACUUCGGGAAACCGGAGCUAAGACCUGAUAAUAGUUUGAACCGCAUGGUUCAAAAGUAAAAGACGGUCUUUCUGUCACUUAUAGAUGGAUCCGCGCUGCAUUAGCUAGUUGGUAAGGGAACGGCUUACUAAGGCAACGAUGCAUAGCAGACCUGAGAGGGUGAUCGGCCACACUGAGACUGAGACACGGUCCAGGCUCCUACGGGUGGGAGCAGUAGGGGUUCUUCCGGAAUGGGCGGAGGCCUGACGGAGCAACGCCGAGUGAGUGAUGAAGGUCUUCGCCUCGUAAAAGUCUGUUCUUAGCGACGACCAGAUGUGUAAGUAACUGUGCACAUCUUGACGGUACCUUAUCAGAAAGCCCCGGCUAACUACGUG